AGAGUUUGAUCCUGGCUCAGAUUGAACGCUGGCGGCAUGCCUAACACAUGCAAGUCGAACGAACCCUUCGGGGUUAGUGGCGCACGGGUGCGUAACGCGUGGGAAUCUGCCCUUUGCUUCGGAAUAACUCAGGGAAACUUGUGCUAAUACCGGAUGAUGUCUUCGGACCAAAGAUUUAUCGGCAAGGGAUGAGCCCGCGUAGGAUUAGGUAGUUGGUGGGGUAAAGGCCUACCAAGCCGACGAUCCUUAGCUGGUCUGAGAGGAUGAUCAGCCACACUGGGACUGAGACACGGCCCAGACUCCUACGGGAGGCAGCAGUGGGGAAUAUUGGACAAUGGGCGCAAGCCUGAUCCAGCAAUGCCGCGUGAGUGAUGAAGGCCCUCGGGUCGUAAAGCUCUUUUACCAGGGAUGAUAAUGACAGUACCUGGAGAAUAAGCUCCGGCUAACUCCGUGCCAGCAGCCGCGGUAAUACA
RNAcentral lists this ribosomal RNA (473 nucleotides) under uncultured Novosphingobium sp. RNAcentral describes it as "bacterial SSU rRNA". It matches the Rfam family "Bacterial small subunit ribosomal RNA", at positions 8 to 527 of the family's 1533-position model. Lineage: Bacteria; Pseudomonadati; Pseudomonadota; Alphaproteobacteria; Sphingomonadales; Sphingomonadaceae. The record is from RNAcentral.